RNAcentral lists this ribosomal RNA (420 nucleotides) under uncultured bacterium. Its description in RNAcentral is "bacterial SSU rRNA". It matches the Rfam family "Bacterial small subunit ribosomal RNA", at positions 356 to 773 of the family's 1533-position model. The record is from RNAcentral.
GAGGAAUAUUGGGCAAUGGGCAGAAGCCUGACCCAGCCAUGCCGCGUGCAGGAAGACGGUCCUAUGGAUUGUAAACUGCUUUUAUACGGGAAGAAACACCCCCUCGUGAGGGGACUUGACGAUACCGUAAGAAUAAGGAUCGGCUAACUCCGUGCCAGCAACCGCGGUAAUACGGAGGAUCCAAGCGUUAUCCGGAAUCAUUGGGUUUAAAGGGUCCGUAGACGGCCUUAUAAGUCAGUGGUGAAAUCUCCUAGCUCAACUAGGAAACUGCCAUUGAUACUGUAGGGCUUGAAUUAUUGUGAAGUAACUAGAAUAUGUAGUGUAGCGGUGAAAUGCUUAGAUAUUACAUGGAAUACCAAUUGCGAAGGCAGGUUACUAACAAUAUAGUGACGCUGAUGGACGAAAGCGUGGGUAGCGAAC